RNAcentral lists this ribosomal RNA (464 nucleotides) under uncultured bacterium. RNAcentral describes it as "partial 16S ribosomal RNA". It matches the Rfam family "Bacterial small subunit ribosomal RNA", at positions 28 to 507 of the family's 1533-position model. The record is from RNAcentral.
GACGAACGCUGGCGGCGUGCUUAACACAUGCAAGUCGAACGGAAAGGCCCCUCUGUGGGUACUUGAGCGGCGAACGGGUGAGUAACACGUGAGUAACCUGCCCUUCACUUCGGGUUGACUUCCUUAAACUGGGGCUAAUACCGGCUAGGAAUCCUUGCUGCCUGGUGGGUGUUGGAAAGCUUGGGCGGUUUGGGGUGGACUCGCGGCUUGUAGGUUUGUUGGUGGGUUAGUGGCUUACCAAGGAUUUGAGGGGCAGCCGGCCGGGGGGGGCGACCGGCCACUUGGGAACGGGAUACGGCCCAGGCUCCCACGGGGGGGAGGAGGGGGGAAUAUUGCAAAAAGGGCGGGAGCCUGAAGCAACAACGCCGCGUGCGGGAUGAAGGGCUUCGGGUUGGAAAACGGUUUCAGCAGGUGAGAAGCUUGUGGUGACGGUACCUGCAGAAGAAGCACCGGCUAACUACGUG